Molecule: non-coding RNA, 90 nt
Organism: Myotis brandtii (Brandt's bat)
Lineage: Eukaryota; Metazoa; Chordata; Mammalia; Chiroptera; Vespertilionidae
Source: Rfam
GGCAGUUCUUGGGUGACACACCCUGGAAUCGGGCUCCCUCCUUUCUGGUUCCCCUCCUUUCUGGUUCCCCGUGUGUUACCUGAGAACGCA